This 685-nucleotide long non-coding RNA is filed under the name Prunus dulcis (almond). Its description in RNAcentral is "sRNA ncRNA". Lineage: Eukaryota; Viridiplantae; Streptophyta; Magnoliopsida; Rosales; Rosaceae. The record is from RNAcentral.
UCCAUGCAGAAAUCUGACUACAUCCAGUGCAAAAAGAGCACAUAUAACAGAGGAAAUAAUUAGACAGAGAAAUUUACAUGGCUAAUAAAUCAUACAUGAAAAUGGGCUCAUUCGGGUAGCUAGCUUAGCUAGCAUCCUUGUAUAACUCUAAGAUUAAUAUUAUUAUUAUCACUGCUAUUCUUCUCCCUCCUGUUUUCUAAAAUCUUAUGCAACUCCUCUGGCCUGCAAGGAACAGCAAGAGCCCCCUUCUGUUCAAAUCCAUAUUCUUCCUCAGCUUCUUCUAGCAACCUCAAAAACUCAGGGUUUUUCAAGGACUCUAAUUUCACCACAAACCUCUCUGCCUCCUUGCCCUUCACUGCAAAAACAGCAAAAUGCCCUUCUUUAACAUCUUCUGGCACCACUGUGGCUUCAUCAAAAUCAUUGUGGUGAUGAAGGCCUCUGGCUGAUAAAAUGGAGAGACCCUUCUGCACAAGCUUCCGAAUGAGCAGCCUCAGCGUCACGAGACCUCGAAUGUCGUCUGGUUUCUUUGAUCGGAUUUUCAGUGUAGACAUAUUAUUGUGUGUUGAGGACUUGGACUCAAGAGCUUGCUUGCUUUGUUUAUUUUGAUGGGUGAUGGUGAUUUUCCGUGGAGGGUGUGUUUUAUAGUGGGUUUUUGAGAAGGAAGCCAGAGUGGGAAAAAAGGAAA